ACUCCUACGGGAGGCAGCAGUGGGGAAUUUUGCGCAAUGGGCGAAAGCCUGACGCAGCAACGCCGCGUGAGUGAUGAAGGCUUUCGGGUCGUAAAGCUCUGUCGAGGGGAAAGAAGUGUAGAGUGGCUAAUAUCCAUUUUACUUGACGGUACCCCUAAAGGAAGCACCGGCUAACUCCGUGCCAGCAGCCGCGGUAAUACGGGGGGUGCAAGCGUUGUUCGGAAUUAUUGGGCGUAAAGAGCGUGUAGGCGGUUUGUUAAGUCUGAUGUGAAAGCCCUGGGCUCAACCCAGGAAGUGCAUUGGAUACUGGCAGACUUGAAUACGGGAGAGGGUAGUGGAAUUCCUGGUGUAGGAGUGAAAUCCGUAGAUAUCAGGAGGAACACCGGUGGCGAAGGCGGCUACCUGGACCGAUAUUGACGCUGAGACGCGAAAGCGUGGGUAGCAAACAGGAUUAGAUACCCUGGUAGUCCACGCCGUAAACGAUGAGAACUAGGUGUUGCGGGUAUUGACCCCUGCAGUGCCGCAGCUAACGCAUUAAGUUCUCCGCCUGGGAAGUACGGUCGCAAGACUAARACUCAWAUGAAUUGACGGA
RNAcentral lists this ribosomal RNA (592 nucleotides) under uncultured Geobacter sp. RNAcentral's name for it is "bacterial SSU rRNA". It matches the Rfam family "Bacterial small subunit ribosomal RNA", at positions 335 to 917 of the family's 1533-position model. Lineage: Bacteria; Pseudomonadati; Thermodesulfobacteriota; Desulfuromonadia; Geobacterales; Geobacteraceae. The record is from RNAcentral.